AAGUCGUAACAAGGUUUCCGUAGGUGAACCUGCGGAAGGAUCAUUACCAAAGACGUCCUUUGGAAGCAAUUCCAUUGGCGUUUUUCUCCCCUUUAUCAACAAACCGUGCACUUGUUAUCUCUCCCGUCUUUUCUUUUAUUUCUGCCUCGUGUGGAAAUAAAAGAAAAGCGGCUUAACCCCAUAUUUUUAUAAACCCGUUUAACCCUGCGUUUUAACUAGUUGACAUACCAUUAACUGCUUUUGCGCAAGCAAUUGCACGUUUAAUUGAGAAAUUAAUUGAACGAUAAACUCUAUACAACUCUUAGCAAUGGAUAUCUAGGUUCUC
This 325-nucleotide unclassified non-coding RNA is filed under the name fungal sp. Its description in RNAcentral is "partial internal transcribed spacer region". The stretch from base 1 to 46 matches the Rfam family "Eukaryotic small subunit ribosomal RNA", at positions 1786 to 1831 of the family's 1831-position model. Lineage: Eukaryota; Fungi. The record is from RNAcentral.